AGAGAAAUCAGUGGAGAAGAAAGCAGCCAAAGAAGAGGGCAUUAAAGCUGAGCCUGCAGUGUCAGACAGCUUUCUCAUGGAAGACGAGAUGCCCUACUUCCAGUGUUUCUUCGUGGACGAGGACGAGGCCCAGUUUCCCUUCUACGCCUUCUCGCCGAUGCAGAUCUGAGGCUUCAGUCUGACUCCGGUCUGAGGUUCACAGUGUUUCCUGAUAACGACAAGGUCACAUCCCACCCUGCGCUGCCGUUCCAUGUUAGAGCUCCAGGGAAAGAGCCUGGGCAGCAGAGGAUGAUCGGUGAUGGACCAUUUAUUUAUUUCCAGAUUUGGUUGAGCUCUCGCACCAAAUACAGCUAAUGUCAUUCCUCUCCAUUUAUUUGUUUUUGUUUUUAAUAUUUUUGAGAGGUGGAAUCAAAUGAAUCUUCUACACGGAAAACAACAUCAUGAAUCAACUUCUGUGGAUCGUUCGUUUAAAUCCUCAAAGCAACGUGUGCAAAUACCUUUAAUACAGUGACACUGAGUCA
Molecule: long non-coding RNA, 521 nt
Organism: Pleuronectes platessa (European plaice)
Lineage: Eukaryota; Metazoa; Chordata; Actinopteri; Pleuronectiformes; Pleuronectidae
Exons: 3
Source: RefSeq, a predicted model, not a curated record